This 29-nucleotide non-coding RNA is filed under the name Mus musculus (house mouse). The record is from RNAcentral. Lineage: Eukaryota; Metazoa; Chordata; Mammalia; Rodentia; Muridae.
UGAGAACCAUUCUUGGAUAACAGAGCCUA